UACGGGGGGGGCAAGCGUUGUUCGGAAUUACUGGGCGUAAAGGGCUCGUAGGCGGCCAACUAAGUCGGAUGUGAAAUCCCCAGGCUCAACCUGGGAACUGCAUCCGAUACUGGAUGGCUUGAAUUCGGGAGAGGGAUGCAGAAUUCCAGGUGUAGCGGUGAAAUGCGUAGAUAUCUGGGGGAAUACCGGUGGCGAAGGCGGCAUCCUGGACCGACAUUGACGCUGAGGAGCGAAAGCCAGGGGAGCAAACGGG
Molecule: ribosomal RNA, 253 nt
Filed under: uncultured bacterium
Lineage: Bacteria
Description: partial 16S ribosomal RNA
Rfam family: Bacterial small subunit ribosomal RNA
Source: RNAcentral